This 543-nucleotide ribosomal RNA is filed under the name Conidae sp. 2 NP-2008. RNAcentral's name for it is "partial 16S ribosomal RNA". It matches the Rfam family "Bacterial large subunit ribosomal RNA", at positions 1799 to 2620 of the family's 2925-position model. Lineage: Eukaryota; Metazoa; Mollusca; Gastropoda; Neogastropoda; Conidae. The record is from RNAcentral.
CCUGUNUUUCAAAAACAUGGCUUCUCGUUUUUAAAUUAUGUGAAGUCGUACCUGCCCAGUGAAAUUUUAACGGCCGCGGUACUCUGACCGUGCAAAGGUAGCAUAAUAAUUUGCCUUAUAAUUGAAGGCUGGAAUGAAUGGUUUGUCAAGGAUAAAACUGUCUCUGUGAAAUUUUAUAGAAUUUUAUCUUUAGGUGAAAAAGCCUAAAUUACAUUAAAAGACAAGAAGACCCUAUCGAGCUUUAAAGAAAUUUAUAAAUACUUAUAACUAAUUAGAAGUUUAAUUAUAAAAAAUUUUGGUUGGGGCAACCUGGGAGUAGAUAAAGCCUCCUUUUUUAAAAAGACUAUUUAUGUUAUGAUCCAAAAAUUUUGAUCAAAAGAAAUAGUUACCGUAGGGAUAACAGCAUAAUUUUUUUUGAGAGUUCUUAUCGAAAAAAGAGUUUGUGACCUCGAUGUUGGACCAGAAUAUCCUAAAGAUGUAGAAGUCUUUAAGGGUUGGUCUGUUCGACCAUUAAAAUUCUACGUGAUCUGAGUUCAGACCGGA